RNAcentral lists this non-coding RNA (181 nucleotides) under Burkholderiales bacterium. Its description in RNAcentral is "6S RNA". It matches the Rfam family "6S / SsrS RNA". From Rfam's summary of the family: E. coli 6S RNA was the first non coding RNA to be sequenced, but its function was unknown until recently. The record is from RNAcentral. Lineage: Bacteria; Pseudomonadati; Pseudomonadota; Betaproteobacteria; Burkholderiales.
UUUCCCCUGCGGUGUUUGUUCAGGCCAUAUACUCUUUGAGCCAAUAACAUCGCUCUGGUCGCCGACCACAGCAGUUUCGGUGUGCGCGUCCCACGCGGACGUGCCUGAAGAAACUCGGAAGGUGGCCGCCUUGAACCCUAGGUUCAGGAUGCUGGUCUGCGACGGCACAUGCGGGGGACCC